GAGGUGUAGCUCAGUGGUACAGUAUGUGCCUGGCAUGCACAAGGCCCUGGGUUCAAUCCCCAGCACUGGCC
Non-coding RNA from Marmota monax (woodchuck), 71 nucleotides. NCBI's taxonomy places the organism in Eukaryota, Metazoa, Chordata, Mammalia, Rodentia, Sciuridae. The record is from the annotation of a RefSeq genome assembly.